CUUAAAAUUAGCAAUUCAGAAUUUUGAAAGUGGGCCUUUUUAAAUUAAAAAAUAAAUAGAAAACAAUAAAAUGAAAUGAUAACAAUGACAAUGAGGAAAAGGGGGAGAGUUUCAGCUUUGAUUUUAUCAAUUUCUUUCAGAUUUAAAAACAAUUAGAAGAAUGGAGACGUUGCAGUCGUUGAACUCAUAUCCUCCAUUUUCUU
Molecule: long non-coding RNA, 203 nt
Filed under: Mytilus galloprovincialis (Mediterranean mussel)
Lineage: Eukaryota; Metazoa; Mollusca; Bivalvia; Mytilida; Mytilidae
Source: RNAcentral